GGGCGUUGAAUGGGUUAAUACUACAGAGGUAGUAGCCCAGGAUGCUGCUAUAUCUUUUAACUUGCAGCUGACUAGGUAUGUGGUGGCUUUAUUCACCGACAUGUCUGCUAAAAUUUAGGUAAAUAGAGUAGCUGGCUUCAUAUGAUUUAAGGGAUCUCAUCUAUUGGAUCGUUCUCACUCCAAAAUGAAUGCAGUUCCUGGGGUGUUAGCAUCAUGAUGGUGCUACCUUGGACCUUGGUAUCAUGUAGACCCCACCAAGAUGAUUGUAGGAUUAAGAUGAUAUUCCCACAUUUAGUGGAUGCUGUUUUUUCUUAUUGGUGAUGCUCAUUAGUUCCAUAACAAGGAAUUCUGAGGACAAAAAUUGAGAGAAGGAAUAUUCUUGAAUUUCAAAAAACUUUCUUUUUAAAUGAGUAUAAAUUUGACUUCACUUCUCUCUUUUCCAGCAUUUUAUUGUGAUUAUGUGUGUGUGUACUUAAUACUGCACUAUGUUUUGUUGGAUCCUACACUAUGCAUCUCAAUACUGAAAGAAACAUUGCUCUUUUUUUUUAAAAAAAAAUCUCUGAAUCUUGUAUAGUUUUCCUAUGAUAUUAUCCCAAGAGAGUUUUGGUGCUAGCUUCCUGAGUUUUUUUUCAAACCUUGAAUCACCUAUGAACUUCUAUCUACUUAUUCUAUUGGGUUAUUAUAAUUUGCUUGAAACUGCAGCUUAAUUGUCUGACAGUUCAAAUGUGCAAUCAUCUUAUUUAGUUCUUGGAUUAUUCUUUUGAUUUCUCAUGAUGGACUCCUAGGAGCAUAUUUUGUGAGUAUGUUGCAGCAUAACCAUUUCUGGCACUUAAUAUGUUCCCUUCUGCUUAGAAAAUUGUGAAGUUUGAUACUCUCGAUUGCUGCUAUAAGUUUUUCAUUUCCUUGUAAUGGCAUUUCUUCUUUCAGUCUAUAUAGGUUUUCAUUGAAUAUGUUGCUUUUUAAUUAUUUGAUAAAAAUGAACUUUUUUUGGGAGGAGGAAAAGUGAUAGAUAUGCCGAUAAGAACAUUUUAUUUGAGCAUAUGAAUUUGUUGUUUAAAACUUGUUCAGUGUCACGUCAUAUUGUUAUUCUUCAUUGAGCUUAGACCAAAUAAGGGGCUCUUGAGUCCUAUUCUCUCUUUGUUGUGGUAUAACCUGUAGGAGGAGCUCUGUCUGUUGAAAGCCUUCAAGAGUCAAAUACAGGAUGGAAGCAUCUAGAGAAAUAGUUUCAUAUCCUUCACUCUUUAAGCUUGAUAUGAAAGCUAUUAUCAGGAUGGCUUCCAAUCUGAUUUCUGGAGUGUCCCUGAGAAAAAAGCUUGCUCAUCAGGGAAAAUAUCCUUAAUACAAUGAAAUCCUUAUCAGUUAAUGAUUGAGAACGACUUUCAUGAUGGAUAUGAUUUAGGUGUAGGGUCUUUGCAUUACUUCACAACCCAAAGAUCACCCUGAAGUGAACUUGAAAGAUGUCUUGAGUGGGAUAGUUGCAAUUCUCACUAGCAGAAGCAAAGGAUAUGGUGGCGUUCAACCUCGUUAAAUUGCUAAUAUAUCAUUUUUGGGAUUUGAAAGCAAUGGAGACUAAGGUCUGCAAUCUCGGUACUGGGUAACAUACUGGUACAUUACUAGUUCAAUAUAGUACGAGUUGGUACGGUAUGGUAUGCAUCCCAUACCGAAAUAGCUCUCAAACCAUUUUUUCACUUUUAUCUCGGUACAAGUAGGUACACACCUCGGAAUGCCUCGAUACGAGGCGGUACAAGAUCUGUACCAAUCUGAAUAUGAGUUUCGUACCAGUUUCAACUUGGUAUGGUACGGUAGGCUCCAUACCGAACGGUUCGAGAUGGUACGUCAACCUAAGAUGGAGACAUGUUCCUACAUUCAUCAGUGUACAUUACCAAGUGCACUACUCUUGCUUGAGGCAGAAGCCACCAACUAUAGUACUUUUAAGGAGAUUCUAGAAGAAGAACCUAUGGAGUGACUUCCAGAUUGUUAUACUACAGUCUGCAUGUAGUGCACUUCUCCUUUCACUGCCCUUUACCCAUGGGAGGCAUUACUGCCGAUUUUGAGCGGCUAUCUUCUGCAUUUGUUCCUUAACUUAUGGCUUCUAUGUCUGAUAUUUCAAUGUUGCAUGUAGACAUGUGGGAGUUUGGAGGGUGAUUCAUGAAAGUGAGAUAAAAUGUCAAAAAAAACCUUUAUUUAUCUAACCUUGCACUAGGAAAGUCUCAUGCCUUUAAGACUUCUACCAUGUAUAUGGGAUGGCUUUAUGAAUCAAACUGCUCUCUUGUGAGUUGUUAUUAAUUUCACAGCCCGGUACAUUUCCAGCAGAUAGAGUACUUUACUAUAAAACCUAAAUGACUAGUUGCUGGAAAGUGAAAGGUAAAAUACUGAUUUUGCUGCUUUAUGUUUAUGGAACUUAGAAGCAGCCCUCCCAAUUUCCGUGGAUUAGGGGGGAAAAAACUUCGUUGAAGAAUUUGGCUAGCAAGGUUUGGUUUUGAGGACUGCUUUCAUGUUUGAGGUACAGAACACAAUAUCAAAUGUUCAGCAAGUACAAACACUUAAGUAAUACACUAAGAAAUUGAUGAUCUAUCAAUAUAUGUGUUGUUCUUUUAUCAUUUAGAGCUCAUAUAUUGAUGUCUCUUCCUCUAAUUUAUACAUCUUUAAGGCAAGAGAUGUAUCAAAAAAAAAAGUCUGAUCUGUCAAGAGGCAAAAUUGCUCGUGAAAAUUCCAAGUUUAUUAGCAUGAUGCAUGACCUUACCUUUCUUAUGUUUAUUAAAGACAUGCAAAUUGUGUGUUGUUGAACAUAUCAGAUGCCAAGUUUGAUUUUGUGGGUGACCAUAAAAAGAACAUUAUUUGAAGUAAUUAACAUGAUGAAGACAUAACUUGGGUCUUUUUUAGUUGGUUUAGCUUCCUAAUAAAUAAUAGCUGAUUGUAAUAUUGCAGGAUUCUGUACUUCGAACUUGGUCAUCCAAGAGGAAUAUGUGAAUUCAAGUUCUGGGACUGUGCCGUGCCUUUAGAUCAUACAUCUUUCUUUUUGAUUUCUCUUUUUGUCUAACCUGUAUUGUACAGAUCUUGGGCGAACUGAUGGACUUCAUCAUUGUUCUACAUGGUUCUAAAGCUGUCAAGACAUUUACCAGCUCCAAGCACUUUUCCCUUGUGAGAGGUUUGAAUGCAAUAGCAGGACCAGUUGGGAGAGUCUUUGAAGCAGAUUUCUGAGCUGGUGAUAAAGGAUCUGGAAUUUGUUACACUAACAGUUGUACCAAAGGUGCUUUUGUUGGAGUCUCACUGGAAGGUAACAUUGUUGCAACAUGGAUUGAUGCUAAUCUGUGAUUCUAGGCGAUGCUUAUCUGACUGCAACUGACAUUAUUCUGGGAACAGUAGAGUGACCUGAAGCUGCUGCGCAUUUUAUAUUGUUCUGAAUGGCCUCUACUGGUGGCUGACAUGCUAAACUUCCAAUUGUUUGUCAGAGUUCCCAUUGUUCAUCAAUGCUCUGCUUUAUUUUGACCAUCAGAGAGGCCAGUCAAACAAUAAGAUGAUGGUUGGGAUCACAACGAACAAAACAGAAAAUGACACUUUUGGGUGUUCACCGGAGUGUGAAAAAUAUCAACAGUAUACCUUGCUUGUUCUGCAUCUCUAUAUUGUCGGAACUGAGAAAGACCGUGCAUAUUUUUAUCAGAACAUUCAAUGGAAAUACACUUGAACAUUGUUCAUUUACUUUUGGUUAUAUUGGUUUCUUUUUGGACAUCAGUUGUAGACUAUCAUUGUACUGGUAGCCUUUCUGUGAUUAACCUUAAAUUAUUGUUCCAUUUGCAAAACUGCAUUAAUCUUUGGAAAUUUUUUGUCCUCCAAAUUUUAGGCAAGUUCUUCUUGAUGAAUAUAUUUUAACCAGUCCAUAAUCUAGCCUACCAUGCAUGGUGCUCCUUUAUAUUAUGUUAGUCAGAUAGCUUGUGAAAUGUAUAUGGGGUGAAUUACUUGUCUCAUUUUCGUGAAGCUUCAAAUUAACCUUAGCAAUUGCUCAGCAAAA
Phoenix dactylifera (date palm) is the source of this 4009-nucleotide non-coding RNA. The record is from RefSeq and is a predicted model, not a curated record. NCBI's taxonomy places the organism in Eukaryota, Viridiplantae, Streptophyta, Magnoliopsida, Arecales, Arecaceae.